RNAcentral lists this ribosomal RNA (497 nucleotides) under uncultured bacterium. RNAcentral's name for it is "partial 16S ribosomal RNA". It matches the Rfam family "Bacterial small subunit ribosomal RNA", at positions 28 to 507 of the family's 1533-position model. The record is from RNAcentral.
GAUGAACGCUGGCGGCGUGCCUAAUACAUGCAAGUCGAGCGAACGGACGAGAAGCUUGCUUCUCUGAUGUUAGCGGCGGACGGGUGAGUAACACGUGGAUAACCUACCUAUAAGACUGGGAUAACUUCGGGAAACCGUAGCUAAUACCGGAUAAUAUUUUGAACCGCAUGGUUCAAAAGUGAAAGACGGUCUUGCUGUCACUUAUAGAUGGAUCCGCGCUGCAUUAGCUAGUUGGUAAGGUAACGGCUUACCAAGGCAACGAUGCAUAGCCGACCUGAGAGGGUGAUCGGCCACACUGGAACUGAGACACGGUCCAGACUCCUACGGGGGGCAGCAGUAGGGAAUCUUCCGCAAUGGGCGAAAGCCUGACGGAGCAACGCCGCGUGAGUGAUGAAGGUCUUCGGAUCGUAAAACUCUGUUAUUAGGGAAGAACAUAUGUGUAAGUAACUGUGCACAUCUAGACGGUACCUAAUCAGAAAGCCACGGCUAACUACGUG